This 590-nucleotide ribosomal RNA is filed under the name uncultured bacterium. Its description in RNAcentral is "bacterial SSU rRNA". It matches the Rfam family "Bacterial small subunit ribosomal RNA", at positions 8 to 524 of the family's 1533-position model. The record is from RNAcentral.
AGAGUUUGAUCAUGGCUCAGGACGAACGCUGGCGGCGUGCCUAACACAUGCAAGUCGAGCGGUCCAGCACUCAAGCUUGCUUGGGUGCUGGGUAGCGGCGAACGGGUGAGUAACGCGUGGGUGACCUGCCCGGGAGACUGGGAUAACAGUUCGAAAGGGCUGCUAAUACCGGAUGAUCCCCAGCACUCAACCGAAGGAAUUAGGCUUGGUUUUAGAGGAAGCUUUCUUGUAGGUUCAAUGAGGUUUUUUCUAUGGUACAGCCUGGUUUUUUGGGUUGAGUGCUGGGGCAAAGCGUUUAGCGCUCCUGGAUGGGCCCGCGUCCCAUUAGCUAGUUGGUGGGGUAAUGGCCUACCAAGGCGGCGAUGGGUAGCCGGUCUGAGAGGAUGGUCGGCCACACUGGGACUGAGACACGGCCCAGACUCCUACGGGAGGCAGCAGUGGGGAAUUUUGCGCAAUGGGGGGAACCCUGACGCAGCGACGCCGCGUGGGUGAUGAAGGCCUUCGGGUUGUAAAGCCCUGUUGGGGGGGAAGAUAAUGACGGUACCCCCUGAGGAAGCCCCGGCUAACUACGUGCCAGCAGCCGCGGUAAU